Molecule: non-coding RNA, 285 nt
Organism: Pelobates cultripes (western spadefoot toad)
Lineage: Eukaryota; Metazoa; Chordata; Amphibia; Anura; Pelobatidae
Source: the annotation of a GenBank genome assembly
CUUACAGGAAAUUUUUACUACUGUAGAAUGAAAACAUACAAAAGCAAGCAACAUCAACGUUUAUUGGGCUUAUAUCAAAGAAUAUCUGAUAUAAAACAUUACUGGAACAGUAAUACGAAGCUCAGAUCUUUUUAUAAACAUUCUUUAUCUUCCAGAAAACAGUAAUAUAAUUUGAAUGGUAAUAGACAGGUUAUGAGCUAGGAUGCCAAAGGGCAAUCUGAGAAUUUGCCAAAUACCUACCAUCCAAUGGAGCUACAAUCUAGUACAGUACAGGAGGGUAAUGGG